UGGGGAAUAUUGGACAAUGGGCGCAAGCCUGAUCCAGCCAUGCCGCGUGUGUGAAGAAGGUCUUUUGGUUGUAAAGCACUUUAAGCGAGGAGGAGGCUACUGGUAUUAAUACUACCGGAUAGUGGACGUUACUCGCAGAAUAAGCACCGGCUAACUCUGUGCCAGCAGCCGCGGUAAUACAGAGGGUGCGAGCGUUAAUCGGAUUUACUGGGCGUAAAGCGUGCGUAGGCGGCUUUUUAAGUCGGAUGUGAAAUCCCUGAGCUUAACUUAGGAAUUGCAUUCGAUACUGGGAAGCUAGAGUAUGGGAGAGGAUGGUAGAAUUCCAGGUGUAGCGGUGAAAUGCGUAGAGAUCUGGAGGAAUACCGAUGGCGAAGGCAGCCAUCUGGCCUAAUACUGACGCUGAGGUACGAAAGCAUGGGGAGCAAACAGG
Molecule: ribosomal RNA, 430 nt
Filed under: uncultured Acinetobacter sp.
Lineage: Bacteria; Pseudomonadati; Pseudomonadota; Gammaproteobacteria; Moraxellales; Moraxellaceae
Description: bacterial SSU rRNA
Rfam family: Bacterial small subunit ribosomal RNA
Source: RNAcentral